RNAcentral lists this ribosomal RNA (484 nucleotides) under uncultured bacterium. Its description in RNAcentral is "partial 16S ribosomal RNA". It matches the Rfam family "Bacterial small subunit ribosomal RNA", at positions 29 to 507 of the family's 1533-position model. The record is from RNAcentral.
AGUGAACGCUGGCGGCAGGCCUAACACAUGCAAGUCGAGCGGCAGCGCGGGGGCAACCCUGGCGGCGAGCGGCGGACGGGUGAGGAAUUCGUCGGAAUCUGCCUUUUUGUGGGGGAUAACGUAGGGAAACUUACGCUAAUACCGCAUACGUCCUACGGGAGAAAGUGGGGGACCGCAAGGCCUCACGCAGAAAGAUGAGCCGACGACCGAUUAGCUAGUUGGUGGGGUAAAGGCCCACCAAGGCGACGAUCGGUAGCUGGUCUGAGAGGAUGAUCAGCCACACUGGGACUGAGACACGGCCCAGACCCCUACGGGAGGCAGCAGUGGGGAAUAUUGGACAAUGGGCGCAAGCCUUAUCCAGCCAUGCCCCGGGGUGGAAGAAGGCCUUCGGGUUUUAAAGCACUUUUGUCCGGAAAGAAAUCCCUGGAGCUAAUACCUUCGGGGGAUGACGGUACCGGAAGAAUAAGCACCGGCUAACUUCGUG